Molecule: non-coding RNA, 1284 nt
Organism: Arachis ipaensis
Lineage: Eukaryota; Viridiplantae; Streptophyta; Magnoliopsida; Fabales; Fabaceae
Source: RefSeq, a predicted model, not a curated record
UUUUAUCUUUUAACAUAACCCUAAAAUCAUCUGCAGCACUCUCAUUCUUCUCUUCUCCCAAAUUUGAACCCUAGCAGAGAGCAUACUACCCUAGCCAGUAGCCACCGACGGUCAAAAGCUCCUCAUUGACCAUGGCGGUUCACGGUAACGGCCAAUAGUCCCUCACUCAUGGCGGCAACCAGCAACCCCAAGCCUUUUCCCCACACCACCAUCUUCGAUUUUUGCCCGGCUAUCACCGUUCGUUACUUCCAUCAUCAGACGUCUUCUCCGCCAUCGUUAGUGAUCUUUUCUACCAUCCUCAGUCCUUUUCUCCAUGGUUUGCAGGAAAGAAGCUCUCUCUUACUGACUCCGCCGCUGCCAGCGGCAUCGCAGCAGCGCUCAUUGUCACUCCGACGAACCCCGCAACAGCUCUUAGGCUCUACACCACUGUUUCCCACCGACUCCUCCGCAAUGUCGUUAUUGCCGCCAACAUUGCUUUCGGACCCACAGUUCAAGAACCUUCUCUCAUCAUGGUCCCACACGACCAUUAAUUGAAGCUCAAACACAACUGAAGCACAAGAAGGAAUCUGUGAAGACAAAGCAUCCACAGCUUCAUUAUGAAUCAAAUAUAUGUGCUUCUUCAAGAAGGGAUGGUUUGGAGUUGAAGGAGACUACAACAUUAUGGCUAUUGACCUUCUUGGACCAAGCUUGGAAGAUUUAUUCAAUUAUUGCAACAGGAAGUUUACACUGAAGACAGUGUUAAUGCUUGCUGAUCAAUUAGUAAGUCUACAUGUCAACUAUUAUAAUCAAACAAGAAUCACAUGAUGUUGUGUAGUGUAGUGCAGUGCCUUGAUUUUGACUGUUGGAUUCCUUAUGAUUAUGAAUUUCUUUCCUUUUCUUUUUUGAAUUUCUUGCUACUUCUUUGGUGAUCAUCUUCUAUGAAUUCAUUUGUAGAGUUCUGCAUCAUGGGUUAGUUUGCCUUAUAAUUCUAUGACCUCAUGUAUAGACAAAAGAUUUCCCAUUCUUUUAUUGAUCUGUGUUGCUUUUUUGUAAUUUGCAGAACUGAUGAGGUAAUCAACACUCAAUUGAUGAUUUCUCGGUAAAUUUGCCAAAAAUGGGUCAAGCAUUUUUCUCCAUAUUUUAGCUUGAAACAGAGGUUGUUAUUGGCUUAUUUGCAUUACAUUUGUAGUGUGUAAAUUAAAUUAUUAGUUUUGUUAUAGAAUUGUAAUUUUUUUUAAUUAUAAUUAUAGCAUGUAAAUAAUUCAUGUAAACCAAUAAAAAAUCAAUUCUUUAUAAACUUUCUUA